GCCGGGUUAGCUCAGCUGGUAGAGCAUCUCUCUUGUAAAGAGAAGGUCGUCGGUUCGAGUCCGACACCCGGCUCCA
This 76-nucleotide transfer RNA is filed under the name Planctomycetota bacterium. Its description in RNAcentral is "tRNA-Thr". It matches the Rfam family "tRNA". Rfam says of the family: Transfer RNA (tRNA) molecules are approximately 80 nucleotides in length. Their secondary structure includes four short double-helical elements and three loops (D, anti-codon, and T loops). RNAcentral also lists the same sequence under 2 other names. Lineage: Bacteria; Pseudomonadati; Planctomycetota. The record is from RNAcentral.